RNAcentral lists this ribosomal RNA (534 nucleotides) under uncultured bacterium. Its description in RNAcentral is "bacterial SSU rRNA". It matches the Rfam family "Bacterial small subunit ribosomal RNA", at positions 8 to 524 of the family's 1533-position model. The record is from RNAcentral.
AGAGUUUGAUCAUGGCUCAGGACGAACGCUGGCGGCGUGCCUAACACAUGCAAGUCGAGCGGGGUUACUGGGGUUCAGCUUGCUGAACGCCACUGACCCAGCGGCGGACGGGUGAGUAACGCGUGAGCAAUCUGCCUCAUACAGGGGGAUAACAGGCGGAAACGCCUGCUAAUACCGCAUAAGACCACGCCACCGCAUGGUGGAGCGGUCAAAGGGUGCACAGACGAGAGGCUGUGCAUACCGGUAUGAGAUGAGCUCGCGUCCCAUUAGCUUGUUGGUGAGGUAACGGCUCACCAAGGCGACGAUGGGUAGCCGACCUGAGAGGGUGAUCGGCCACACUGGGACUGAGACACGGCCCAGACUCCUACGGGAGGCAGCAGUGGGGAAUAUUGCGCAAUGGGGGGAACCCUGACGCAGCAACGCCGCGUGAGCGAAGAAGGCCUUCGGGUCGUAAAGCUCUGUCAUAGGGGAAGAGGAGAAGACGGUACCCUAUGAGGAAGCCCCGGCUAACUACGUGCCAGCAGCCGCGGUAAU